GAUGAACGCUGGCGGCGUGCCUAAUACAUGCAAGUCGAGCGAACAGACGAGGAGCUUGCUCCUUUGACGUUAGCGGCGGACGGGUGAGUAACACGUGGGUAACCUACCUAUAAGACUGGGAUAACUUCGGGAAACCGGAGCUAAUACCGGAUAAUAUUUCGAACCGCAUGGUUCGAUAGUGAAAGAUGGCUUUGCUAUCACUUAUAGAUGGACCUGCGCCGUAUUAGCUAGUUGGUAAGGUAACGGCUUACCAAGGCAACGAUACGUAGCCGACCUGAGAGGGUGAUCGGCCACACUGGAACUGAGACACGGUCCAGACUCCUACGGGAGGCAGCAGUAGGGAAUCUUCCGCAAUGGGCGAAAGCCUGACGGAGCAACGCCGCGUGAGUGAUGAAGGGCUUCGGAUCGUAAAACUCUGUUAUUAGGGAAGAACAAACGUGUAAGUAACGGUGCACGUCUUGACGGUACCUAAGCAGAAAGCCACGGCUAACUACGU
This 496-nucleotide ribosomal RNA is filed under the name uncultured bacterium. RNAcentral describes it as "partial 16S ribosomal RNA". It matches the Rfam family "Bacterial small subunit ribosomal RNA", at positions 28 to 506 of the family's 1533-position model. The record is from RNAcentral.